Long non-coding RNA from Mesoplodon densirostris (Blainville's beaked whale), 7667 nucleotides. RefSeq lists it as uncharacterized. The transcript has 7 exons. The record is from RefSeq and is a predicted model, not a curated record. Lineage: Eukaryota; Metazoa; Chordata; Mammalia; Artiodactyla; Ziphiidae.
GGAGCCUCGGAACCUGGGUUCCGGCCUGGUGUGUGCGGGUCCCGCCCCGCGUGCUUUCUGGGGUCUCUCCGGAGAUGAGGGUGGCAGGGCGGGGAGUUCUCUCCGCGAAGUACCAUGCUGAGAAAGCCUGGGUUCAUAUGUACACGGGCCUCUCACUGUUGUGGCCUCUCCCGUUGUGGAGCACAGGCUCUGGACGCACAGGCUCAGCGGCCAUGGCUCACAGGCCCAGCCACUCCGCAGCAUGUGGGAUCUUCCUGGACCGGGGCACAAACCCGUGUCCCCUGCAUCGGCAGGUGGACUCUCAACCACUGUGCCACCAGGUUAGAGCAAGAACAGCCAUUGCUCCAGUAUCUGUCAGGAAGCAAAACACUGGUGAUAGGGUGACUAACCAUCCUGGUGCACCCUGGACUGAGUAGUUUCCUGGUAUGUGGGACUUUCAGUACUAACAACAGGACAAAUCUGGACAAACUGGGAUGGUUGGUCAUGCUCGUGAAUGAUGGGAGAGAAGAAUUUCAAGUUUGCUAACCAGACGAGCAUCACGUAUAAACACUUCAUCAGAGUUAUUACACGCUCCCAAAGCCAAGAUAACCAAGGCAAGCUCUCCUGAGGUUAUCUCUGACUCUGAAAAGAAAAGUAUUCAAGUUAAACAAGUGUCCAUAGGGUGUACUUCUUCUACAUUCUGGGCUGUUGUUCCACUGACUCUACUUGGUCAAGACUGCCUCUUGCAUUCUGAUGAAGUGUCUCUGAGAACUGGCUGUCCUGUCACCAGCAUAACUGAGAAGGGUGGCUGCUGUGCUUAGCUGGUGCAAGAUGGGUGGAGUCAAGGUCAAAGCCAAAGAGGAGUUACUCUUCAAUAAAAAUGGACACUUCUGAGGAGCUGAGUCAAGAUGGCACAGUAGGAAGACCCUGAGUUCACCUCCUCUCAUGGGCACACCAAAAAUGACAACUAUUUAUAGAGCAACUAUUGAUGAGAAAGACUGGAAUCUACCAGAAAAGAUCCUCUACAACUAGAAAUAUAAAGAAGGAACCACAACAAAACAUGUAGGAGGUGGGGAGGAUGUGGUAUAGUCAAGACCCAUAUCCCUGAAUGGGCAACCCACAAACAAGAGGAUAAUUACAAUUUCAGAGUUCUUCCCAAGGAGCAAGGGGUCUAAGCCCCACAUCAGGCUCCCCAACCUGGGGGUCCUGCACUGGGAGGACAAGCCCCCCAGAACACUUGAAGGCCAGUGGGGCUUGAUUUUAGGAGACCCAGAGGCUGUGGGAAACAAAGGCUCCACUUUUUUUUUUUUUUUUUUUUUUUUUCUUUUUUGCAGUAUGCGGGCCUCUCACUGUUGUGGCCUCUCCCGUUGCGGAGCACAGGCUCUGGAUGCGCAAGCCCAGCGGCCAUGGUUCACGGGCCCAGCCGCUCCGCGGCAUAUGGGAUCCUCCCAGACCGGGGCACAAACCCAUGUCCCCUGCAUCGGCAGGCGGACUCUUAACCACUGCGCCACCAGGGAGGCCCAAAGGCUCCACUUUUAAAGGGCUUUCACAAGAUCUCACACAUUCUGGGACCCAGGGUAGAGCAGUAAUUUGAAACGAGCCUGGGUCAGACUCACCUGCUGAUCUUGGAGAGGCUCCUAGAGAGGCAGGAGGCAACUGGAGCUCACCCUGGGGACAUCAACACUGGUGGCAGCCAUUUUUGGAAGCUUGUUCUGUCACAUGGACACGGGUGCUGGCAAGGACCAUUUUGUAAUCUUCCCUCUGGCUUAUUAGCCUCAGGACUGCCCCGCCCUGCCCACCAGCCUGUGGGCACCAAUACUGGAAUGCCCCAGGCUAAGCAACUAGCUGGGUGGGGACACAGCCCCAUCCACUAGUAGGCAGGCUGCCUUAAGAUCCCUGAACCCACAGCCAUCCCUGGGCAUGGCUCUGUCCACCACAGAGCCCAGGACCUGGCCCAGUACGCAGGCACUAGACUGGAUAUCCCAGGGCCCUACAGCCAGAGAGUCUGGGACACAGCUCUGCCCACCAGUAGGCAGCACCAGUCUGGGGACCGGCUGGAUCUCAGCCCUACUCACCAGUGGGCUGACACAAGCUUCAGGACACCCUCAACCCUGCAGCCAGCUGUGUCAGGAACUGGCCUCACCCACCAGGAGGCCGACACUAGAUCUGGGAAUCCUGGCUACCCAACCCAGAACCCAGCUUUGCCCACCAGUGAACCAGCACGACCCCAGAGACCCCCAGAUUUUCACAGCCAGACUUCUCAUGACCUAGCUCAGCCAACCAGCAACUGGCAGCCUCCAGGCAGGCCCUGGCAACCAAUCAGACCUGGGACCAGCCAUGCCUACAAGACCACUCAUAGCCCACCACAACAGAAGGACCCACACAGCCUGCAUGGUGGGGGGGAAUUCCUAGAGGAUAUAGCUCUGGUGACUAGCGGGGAGUGCACUGCUGGGACACAUAGGACAUCACCUACAAAGGGCCACUUCUCCAAGGCUGGGAAAUGUAAUCAACCUACCAUAUACAUAAAAAUAAAAACAGCAAAUUAGGCAAAAUGAGGAGAUAGAUGAACAUGUUCCAAAUGAAGGAGCAAGAUAAAACCCCCAAAGAAGAACUAAGUGAAAUGGAGAUAGGCAAUCUAACAGAUGAAGAGUUCAAGGUAAUGAUCAUAAAGAUGCUCAGAGAACUCCGGAGAAGACUGGGUGAAUAGAGUGAGAAUGAGAAGGUUUUAAUGAAGAGUUAUAAAAUGUAAAGAAGACACAAACAGAUGAAGAAUACAAUAACUGAAAUGAAAAAUACACUAGAAGGAAUCAACAGUAGAUUAAAUGAUACAGAGGAACAGAUCAGCAAGCUGGAAGACAGUAGUGGAAAUCACUGAUGCCGAACAGAAAAAGAGAAUGAAAAGAAGUGAGGACAGUUUAAGAGACCUCUGGGCCAACAUCAAACAUACUAACAUUCACAUUAUAGGGGUCCCAGAAGGAGGAGAAAGAGAAAAAGUUCUGAGAACAUAUUUGAAGACAUAAUAGCUGAAAACUUCCCUAACCUGGCAAAGCAAACAGUCACCCAAGUCCAGAAAGCACAGAGAGUCCCAAACAGGAUUAAUCCAAAGAGGUCCACACCAAGACACAUUGUAAUUAAAUGGCAAAAAUUAAAGACAAGAGAAUAUUAAAACCAGCAAGGGAAAAACAACGAGUUACAUACAAGGGAACUCCCACUAGGCUGUCAGCUGAAUUUUCAGCAGAAACUCUACAAGCCAGAAAGGAGUGCCAUGAUAUAGUUAAAGUGAUGAAAGGGAAAAGCCUACAACCAAGAAUACUCUACCCAGCAAGGCUCUCAUUCAGAUUUACAGACAAGCAAAAGCUAAGAGUUCAGCAUCACCAAACCAGCUUUAUAAGAAAUGUUAAAAGGACUUCUCUAAGCAAAAAAGAAAAGGCCACGACUAGAAACAUGAAAAUUAUGAAAGGAAAAAGUUCAUCAGGAAAGGUAAAUAUACAAUACAGGUAGUAAAUCAACCAUGUACAAAGCUAAUAGGAAGGUUAAAAGACAAAAGUAGUAAAAUGAUGUCUGCAAUAAGCAGUUAAGGGACACACAAAACAAAAAAUGUAAGGUAUGAUGUCAAAAACAGUAAUCAUGAGGAGAGGGUAGUAAAAAUGAAGGGUUGUUAAAAUGCAUUUAAAAUUAAGAGAUCAGGGCUUCCCUGGUGGCACAGUGGUUGAGAGUCUGCCUGCUAAUGCAGGGGACACGGGUUCGAGCCCUGGUCUGGGAGGAUCCCACAUGCCACGGAGCAACUAGGCCUGUGAGCCACAACUACUGAGCCUGCAUGUCUGGAGCCUGUGCUCCGCAACAAGAGAGACUGCCAUAGUGAGAGGCCCGUGCACCACGAUGAAGAGUGGCCCCCGCUUGUCACAACUAGAGAAAGCUCUCGCACAGAAACGAAGACCCAACACAGCAAAAAUAAAUAAAUUAAUUAAUAAACUUCUACCCUCAACAUCUUAAAAAAAAAAAUUAAGAGAUCAGCAACUUAAAAUAAUCACAUAUAUGUAUAUAGGUUGCUUUAUAUUAACCUCAUGGUAACCAGAAACCAAAAAUAUAUAAUAGAUACACAAAAAAGAGAAAGAGUUAUAUUUGUUUAACUAAAAGAUUCAAACUCCUAGAAGCAGACAGUUAGAUGGUGGUUGCCAGGACUGGGGGAGGGGAAAUGAGGAGUUUUUAUUUAACAGGUACAAAGUUUCAGUUAGGCAAGAUGAGUAAGUUCUAGAGCUCUGUUGUACAACAUUGUGCCUAUAGCUAACAAUAUUGUAUGGCACACUUUUUAAGAGGGUAGAUCUCAUGUUAAAUAUUUUUACCACAAUAAAAAAUAAUUAACAUUUCUGUCCCCAAAGUUGCCAUAAACACUGUUAAGAAAUAACAUAAUACUUUGCAAAUCCACAAGGAUUAGCAUCCAGAAUAUAUAAAGAAUGUCAUGCAAAUCAAUUGAAAAACAAAUUCUGCUCAAUAUGCUAUAAUAAUGUAAAUGGGAAAAGAAUUUGAAAAAGGAUAGAUGUAUGUAUAUGUAUAAUGGAAUCCCUUUGUUGUACACCUGAAACUAUCACAACAUUGUUAAUCAACUAUACUCCAAUGUAAAAUGAAAAAUAAAACAAAUUCUGAUACAAAAUGGACAAAAGCCAUCAACAGGCAGUACACAAAAGAGGAAAUGUGAUAAAAAGCAAUCUCAUUAGUAAUCAUGACACAGUUAAUUAAAAUCCAGAAGCACCCUUUUCCCCUUCCAGACUGGCAAAUAUUGUUUCCUGAAACCAAGUGUUGGUGAGGGUGUGGAGAAACUCUAGAGGGAGAAUAAACAAGUACAAUAACUUUAUUGAGGAAUUGCUAACUAUCUAGGAAAUAGUAGAAUUGUAUACUCUGUGUGUGUGCACAUAUACACGCUCAUGCACCCAGCAUCUCCACUCCCUUGGAACUGCACCCUAGAAGACCCAGGAACACUCAUACAUACGCAGGAGGAGCUGUGUACAAGGAUGUAAAUAGCAGCAUUAUGAAAACUAGCAACUGGUGGCAAGUUAAGCGUCCUUCAGCAAAGACUGGAUACAUAAUUUGUGGCAUGAUCAUACAAUAAAAUACCGAAAGCAAUAAUGAACAAAGAUGUACAAUAGUAUAUAAUAUUCAUGGCUGCAUGAUACUUACAGAUCCAGAAAUUAUAUUGUCAUACAUUUCUGGCCUAUAGAACUAGUCCACAUCUCAGAAACAAGGAGGAGCAGCCACCCUAGUAGGAGGAAGCCCUUCAUUUGGUCAAACCCUGAGCCAAAGCCCACUCAGGAAACAGGAAGUUGUGAGGGGCCGGCUGCUUCCUGUGUUAUAGCAGCUGAAGCCAUGCUCAGAUGUUGGUAGUUAACCACAUUUUGGACAGCAUUAGAGAAUGUCCUAUUAGCUCAACCUCAUAAAGUUUGGUAUUUUAUGCUCAAAAUUGCAGAUUAGUGGGACAUGUAAGCAAAAUGUACUAUUUGAGGGUUUCUAGAACUUUGUCAUCUUUAGGCCUAUGAAGGUACCGUUAAAUUGUCAUAGAGCUCUCGAUUCAGGUUUAGGGAGUUGUGGAGGCUUGUAAUGGCCCACUCUCUUGUGUAACUCCUUCUCUGUUAGUGUGGUAGGAGCUGUGAAUAUGCUGAAAUGUUAUUCCUGUAAUUAUGUUACUUUAUAGGGCAAAGGGGAUUUUUUUUUCUCAAUUGACUUUGAGUUAAUCAAAAUGGAGAUUAUCUGGGUGGGACUAAUCUAAUCACACAGGCCCUUUAAAGGCAGAGGGUUUUCUCUAGCUGGUGGCAGCAGUCAUUAGCGAGAUUUGGGAAUGUAAGAAGGAUCAGCCCUCUUGCUGGUCUGAAGAUGGAGGGGGCCAGGUGAGAGGACACAUAGGCAACUUUCAGGAGCUGAGAAAUGCCUGGUUGAGAGCCAGCAAGGAAACAGGGACCUCAGGUCUAUAACCCCAAGGAACUGAAUUCAGUCAACAUCCUGAAUGAGGCUGGAAGCAGAUUCAAACCCAGAUCCUGCAAGUAAAAGCCCAGCCUGGCCGACAUCUUGAUUUUGGCCUCAUGGGACCCUAAACAGAGAACCCAGUUGAGCCUGCUUGGACUUAUGACCUAUAGAACUGUGAAGUAAUGAGUGGUAUUGCUUUACGUUGCCAAAUUUAUGGUGAUAUGUAGCCAUAGGAAACUAAUACAGAGGGCGUUUUGGGUGCUUGAGAAAAUGGAAAGAUCACAGUUGCUGGACCCCAGUGAGGUGGGAAAGAAUAGUAGGGAAUAUCAUGCAACAGUAAAGAGGAAUACAUUUGAUUUGAUUUAAAAACAUGCAUUUAGCUCAAACACAGGUAAAUGAAAAAUGCAAGAAAAAACCGUAAGAUAUACUGCACCAAACUAUUUAGAAAUGUACAUUAAAAUAUAUUUUUCACAUUUGUACAUAUGUUAAAAUUUUUGGAAAGUACUAUGGAAGGAUAUAUAGUAAAUAUUUUUAAGUGUGACCAUUAUAUAGUAGGAUAUGGAAUUGGAGAUGCUGAAUUAAAGAAAAAAAUAAUAAGAGGGUCUUUACAUAGAUGAAUGAUGCUAGUUGGCCAUGCUAAAGAGUAUGAUCAACAGAGUUCUGUCUCCUGAGAUUCACAAUUACAACACAUAGUAGAACAAAACAGCAGAUAAGAGAAAAAAACAAAAAAUAAAUUCAAUUAUAACUAAUAUUAAGCAUUUACUAUGUGCCAGAUACUUUUCUAAUUAUGUAUUUGUAUUAACAUAUUUAGUGCUUCCAAUAAGCCUAUGAGAGAGGUAGGUGCUCUUAUAGUCCCAUUUUGCAUUGAUUUGUACACAGUUUAGGUAGCUUACAUAAUGUCACACAGAUAGUAAGAGUCCAUAGAAAUGAAAAUCUAGUAGUCUGUUUCCAGAAUCUGUUUUCUUAACCACUGUGCUAAGGUAGGUCACGGAGUCAAUGGAUUUCAAUGGAUUUCAUCUCCAUCAGCAGUCUUCACAUUGGAAUAUUUCUAUGCGUGAGAGUACACAAAGACUUUCUAGGGGGAGUUCAUGCAGCAAUAAUUUCGGUGCAUUUAAUUUCCAGAGUCUCAACUGCCAUUUAUACUCCUUCCAAACACUGAUCUUCCAGAGAAUAAACAUGAGUUCUCAGUGUCCUUUUAUUUUACAAAUACAGGCAUAUCUCUUGCCCAACCCAAGUGAUAUUCUUUGAUGGCAUGGGUAAUAAAAACUGGAGUGCCAGACAAAAUAAAACAUUGAAACACUGGCUUAGUAACACUUCCUUCAUGAAGACAAGGGGUCAGCCAACUUUUUCUGGAAAGGGCCAAGUAAUAAGAAUUAUAGGCUUUGUGGUUUCUUUCACAGCAACUCAACUCUGAUGUUCUAGUGAAAAGCAGUUUAAGUAAAUGAAUGAACGUGGCUGUGUUUCAGGAAAAUUUUACUCGUGGGCUGUAGUUUGCCAACCCCGUUACUGUCUUUCCUUAUCUUAUGCAUAUUUAUAUUAAGGGUGAAGCUUGGCAUCACGAAUGGAGAAAUUUGACCAGGAUAGAAUGCUCUGAAUUCAAACGGUCAAAAAACUAUCAGUUUCUGAUGCUGAUUAUUUUUAUUUAAUGUUUUAAUUGAAAAUAUUUUUAAAAAUUUAAGACACAUUAUAUCAAACCCAUGGAUAAAAUUGGAUGUGAUUUUUUUUAAUGAAGU